This 916-nucleotide long non-coding RNA is filed under the name Lucilia cuprina (Australian sheep blowfly). Its description in RNAcentral is "uncharacterized LOC124420396, transcript variant X3". The record is from RNAcentral. Lineage: Eukaryota; Metazoa; Arthropoda; Insecta; Diptera; Calliphoridae.
UGUUUUACUUGGCGAACGGUUGUGAUUUUUUUCGAAGGCGGUUUUAAAGAAGAAUAAAGGUUUUGAAAAAAGACGUAAUUUACGCCGAAAAUUGAAAAUAUAAUUUCAGUGGAAAUGGAAAAAAAUUAAAAAUUAAUAGAUGGUGUUGGUAAACAGAAAAAUAAAUUAUAAAAGUGUAAUAAACAUUUAAGAUAAUUAAGCAAAAACCGAAUUUGAAUUCUUAGUGGAAGUUAAGUGAUUUUUGAAAAAUAACUAUAAAGAUGCUUAAUGCAAAACAAGUAGAAGUUUUACAUUUGGCUGUGCCAAAUUUUAAAUAUCCUUUACCAUGAUGUGUUUCAAAUCAAAAAAUAUUAGCUGAAAGAAGAACAAUUAAUUAUACAAAAACUGAAUUUGAAUUCUAAGUGGCAAAUAAGUGACAUUAAAAAAUUAAGUAAAAAUAAUAUUUUGAAAACUAAAAUAAAUUUACAUCUUCUACUGUGAAAAAGAGAGAAAUUACAAUAUGCUGAAAGUGUUUUUACGAAUUGACAGAAAUUUUUGACUUUCAAAACGUCCAAAUUUUAUUUGAAUACUUAGAAAUAAUAAUAAAAAAACAUGGAUAAAUAUGGAUUAAUCUUACUUAAGGAAUAAACUGAGAAAAGUAAUAAUCAACAAUAAAGCAGUAUUCGAUCGUAUAUUGAUCAUAUCUUAAAGAGAUGAUUUUAUGAUUUGAAAGUCCAAAAUAGCAAACAACUUGUACAACAUGAUGAAUAACAAACACUAUGAGAUAACAACUAAUCUUUCACAAAAGGACACCUUCAAAGAUCAUAUGUUUGUAAUUGAACUAAAAACGGGUGUAUAAGGCUUCCCUGGAUAUUUGCUUUCACUCAAGGAUGACCUCCAGAAACAUAAGUUUAUAAUUCAACUAAUAAUGGUUAUA